RNAcentral lists this ribosomal RNA (274 nucleotides) under uncultured bacterium. RNAcentral's name for it is "partial 16S ribosomal RNA". It matches the Rfam family "Bacterial small subunit ribosomal RNA", at positions 523 to 796 of the family's 1533-position model. The record is from RNAcentral.
AUACGGAGGGUGCAAGCGUUAAUCGGAAUUACUGGGCGUAAAGCGUACGUAGGCGGUUUAUUAAGUCAGAUGUGAAAGCCCCGGGCUUAACCUGGGAACUGCAUUUGAAACUAGUAGACUAGAGUAUGGUAGAGGGGGGUAGAAUUCCUAGUGUAGCGGUGAAAUGCGUAGAUAUUAGGAGGAAUACCAGUGGCGAAGGCGGCCCCCUGGACCAAUACUGACGCUGGGGUACGAAAGCGUGGGGAGCGAACAGGAUUAGAAACCCCAGUAGUCC